UGCCAGCCGCCGCGGUAACACGGGGGGCGCAAGCGUUAUUCGGAAUUAUUGGGCGUAAAGGGCGCGCAGGCGGUCUUGUCCGUCAGGCGUGAAAGCCCGGGGCUCAACCUCGGAACUGCAUCCGAUACUGCCUUGCUAGAGUAAUGGAGGGGCAUCUGGAAUUCACGGUGUAGCAGUGAAAUGCGUAGAUAUCGUGAGGAACACUAGUGGCGAAGGCGAGAUGCUGGACAUUUACUGACGCUGAGGUACGAAGGCCAGGGUAGCGAAAAGGAUUAGAUA
This 279-nucleotide ribosomal RNA is filed under the name uncultured bacterium. Its description in RNAcentral is "partial 16S ribosomal RNA". It matches the Rfam family "Bacterial small subunit ribosomal RNA", at positions 506 to 784 of the family's 1533-position model. The record is from RNAcentral.